GCGCCUGUAGCUCAGCUGGAGAGAGCGUGGGGUUGCGGACCCCAAGGUCGCAGGUUCAAGUCCUGCCAGGCGCA
Molecule: transfer RNA, 74 nt
Filed under: bacterium
Lineage: Bacteria
Also listed under: 2 other names
Description: tRNA-Arg
Rfam family: tRNA
About the family: Transfer RNA (tRNA) molecules are approximately 80 nucleotides in length. Their secondary structure includes four short double-helical elements and three loops (D, anti-codon, and T loops).
Source: RNAcentral